RNAcentral lists this unclassified non-coding RNA (329 nucleotides) under soil metagenome. RNAcentral describes it as "partial contains 5.8S ribosomal RNA, internal transcribed spacer 2, and large subunit ribosomal RNA". The stretch from base 1 to 120 matches the Rfam family "5.8S ribosomal RNA", at positions 35 to 154 of the family's 154-position model. The record is from RNAcentral.
GAUGAAGAACGCAGCGAAAUGCGAUAAGUAAUGUGAAUUGCAGAAUUCAGUGAAUCAUCGAAUCUUUGAACGCACAUUGCGCCCCUUGGUAUUCCGAGGGGCAUGCCUGUUCGAGCGUCAUUAUAACCCCUCAAGCUCAGCUUGGUGUUGGGGCCUGCUGCACUGGCAGCCCUUAAAAUCAGUGGCGGCGCCAUCUGACUCUAAGCGUAGUAAUUCUUCUCGCUAUGGAGUCCUGGUGGAUGCUUGCCAUCAACCCCCAAUUUUUCUAUGGUUGACCUCGGAUCAGGUAGGGAUACCCGCUGAACUUAAGCAUAUCAAUAAGCGGAGGA